CAGAAAAUAGUUUAAUAAAAAUAUUAGUUUUGGGAAUUGAUGAUGGAAAGUAUUUUUCUUUUCUGA
RNAcentral lists this transfer RNA (66 nucleotides) under Typhlatya consobrina. RNAcentral describes it as "tRNA-Pro". Lineage: Eukaryota; Metazoa; Arthropoda; Malacostraca; Decapoda; Atyidae. The record is from RNAcentral.